This is a non-coding RNA of Microcebus murinus (gray mouse lemur), 111 nucleotides long. Lineage: Eukaryota; Metazoa; Chordata; Mammalia; Primates; Cheirogaleidae. The record is from RefSeq and is a predicted model, not a curated record.
CUUCUGUCUACAUGCUUUCUCAUUCAAGAACUCGUCAUCACGCAUCACAGGCUGCGUCUUUGACGUUUUUAAUAAGUCUGGGUGACCGCACCUAAAAUGCACUUGCACUAU